UAAGGAAUAUUGGACAAUGGGCGCAAGCCUGAUCCAGCCAUUCCGCGUGUAGGAUGACGGCCCUCUGGGUUGUAAACUACUUUUAUUUGGGAAGAAACCCUGGGAUUUAUCCCGGGCUGACGGUACCAAAAGAAUAAGCACCGGCUAAUUCCGUGCCAGCAGCCGCGGUAAUACGGAAGGUGCAAGCGUUAUCCGGAAUCACUGGGUUUAAAGGGUGCGUAGGCGGUUGCGUAAGUCAGAAGUGAAAGCUCACAGCUUAACUGUGGAAUUGCUUUUGAUACUGCGUGACUAGAAUCAGGUUGAGGUUGGCGGAAUGUGACAUGUAGCGGUGAAAUGCAUAGAUAUGUCAUAGAACACCAAUUGCGAAGGCAGCUGACUGGACCUGCAUUGACGCUGAGGCACGAAAGCGUGGGGAGCGAACAGG
This 424-nucleotide ribosomal RNA is filed under the name uncultured bacterium. Its description in RNAcentral is "bacterial SSU rRNA". It matches the Rfam family "Bacterial small subunit ribosomal RNA", at positions 355 to 776 of the family's 1533-position model. The record is from RNAcentral.